GAUGAACGCUAGCGGCAGGCCUAACACAUGCAAGUCGAGGGGUAGAGGAAGCUUGCUUCCUUGAGACCGGCGCACGGGUGCGUAACGCGUAUGCAAUCUACCUUAUACAGAGGGAUAGCCCAGAGAAAUUUGGAUUAAUACCUCAUAGUAUUAUGAAAUCGCAUGGUUUUAUAAUUAAAGUUCCAACGGUAUAAGAUGAGCAUGCGUCCCAUUAGUUAGUUGGUAAGGUAACGGCUUACCAAGACAAUGAUGGGUAGGGGUCCUGAGAGGGAGAUCCCCCACACUGGUACUGAGACACGGACCAGACUCCUACGGGAGGCAGCAGUGAGGAAUAUUGGUCAAUGGACGCAAGUCUGAACCAGCCAUGCCGCGUGCAGGAUGACGGUCCUAUGGAUUGUAAACUGCUUUUAACAGGAAGAAACACUCCCUCGUGAGGGAGCUUGACGGUACUGUAGGAAUAAGGAUCGGCUAACUCCGUGCCAGC
Molecule: ribosomal RNA, 484 nt
Filed under: uncultured bacterium
Lineage: Bacteria
Description: bacterial SSU rRNA
Rfam family: Bacterial small subunit ribosomal RNA
Source: RNAcentral